CGACCGGCGCACGGGUGAGUAACACGUAUCCAACCUGCCGAUGACUCGGGGAUAGCCUUUCGAAAGAAAGAUUAAUACCCGAUGGCAUAGUUCUUCCGCAUGGUAGAACUAUUAAAGAAUUUCGGUCAUCGAUGGGGAUGCGUUCCAUUAGCUUGUUGGCGGGGUAACGGCCCACCAAGGCAUCGAUGGAUAGGGGUUCUGAGAGGAAGGUCCCCCACAUUGGAACUGAGACACGGACCAAACUCCUACGGGAGGCAGCAG
Molecule: ribosomal RNA, 261 nt
Filed under: uncultured bacterium
Lineage: Bacteria
Description: partial 16S ribosomal RNA
Rfam family: Bacterial small subunit ribosomal RNA
Source: RNAcentral